UACGAAGGGGGCUAGCGUUGCUCGGAAUCACUGGGCGUAAAGCGCACGUAGGCGGAUUGCUAAGUCAGGGGUGAAAUCCUGGAGCUCAACUCCAGAACUGCCUUUGAUACUGGCGACCUUGAGUCCGGGAGAGGUGAGUGGAACUGCGAGUGUAGAGGUGAAAUUCGUAGAUAUUCGCAAGAACACCAGUGGCGAAGGCGGCUCAUUGGCCCGGUACUGACGCUGAGGCACGAAAGCGUGGGGAGCAAACAGG
This 253-nucleotide ribosomal RNA is filed under the name uncultured bacterium. Its description in RNAcentral is "partial 16S ribosomal RNA". It matches the Rfam family "Bacterial small subunit ribosomal RNA", at positions 524 to 776 of the family's 1533-position model. The record is from RNAcentral.